This 377-nucleotide ribosomal RNA is filed under the name uncultured organism. RNAcentral describes it as "partial 16S ribosomal RNA". It matches the Rfam family "Bacterial small subunit ribosomal RNA", at positions 527 to 896 of the family's 1533-position model. The record is from RNAcentral.
GUAGGGCGCAAGCGUUAUCCGGAAUUAUUGGGCGUAAAGAGCUCGUAGGCGGUUUGUCGCGUCUGCCGUGAAAGUCCGGGGCUCAACUCCGGAUCUGCGGUGGGUACGGGCAGACUAGAGUGAUGUAGGGGAGACUGGAAUUCCUGGUGUAGCGGUGAAAUGCGCAGAUAUCAGGAGGAACACCGAUGGCGAAGGCAGGUCUCUGGGCAUUAACUGACGCUGAGGAGCGAAAGCAUGGGGGGAGCGAACAGGAUUAGAUACCCUGGUAGUCCAUGCCCGUAAACGUUGGGCACUAGGUGUGGGGGACAUUCCCACGUUUUCCGUACCGUAGCUAACGCAUUAAGUGCCCCCGCCUGGGGAGUACGGCCGCAAGGCUA